Hipposideros armiger (great roundleaf bat) is the source of this 322-nucleotide long non-coding RNA. RefSeq lists it as uncharacterized. Lineage: Eukaryota; Metazoa; Chordata; Mammalia; Chiroptera; Hipposideridae. The transcript is spliced from 3 exons. The record is from RefSeq and is a predicted model, not a curated record.
CUGGCUUCUGAGAGCAGAAAGGAAAUCCAACAAGAUAAGACUGCAGGAGAAAUGCUUUCCGGGGGAUGCCAUGGGAUUUCAGUGACCCCAUUAAACACGAAUAGAACAGCUCAAGAGUGCAUCUCUCAUGGUUAACAAAAAGAAGACACAGAAACCCUGGAAAACAAGCAUAAUUAACAAAGAAACACAAGAACAUGCCAAGAAUUCAUCCUAUCGGUAGAUAUAAAGCAGGUAGUCAUGAAGUAUGCUUAUCAAGAGCCCACUUCUAGUUCAGUUUUCCAUUCUGAAUACUGGCUUUGGCUUUCUCUUGUCUGAUGAGAGA